This 219-nucleotide long non-coding RNA is filed under the name Mytilus galloprovincialis (Mediterranean mussel). The record is from RNAcentral. Lineage: Eukaryota; Metazoa; Mollusca; Bivalvia; Mytilida; Mytilidae.
GGGGAAUGGGCAUUGAACUUUGUGAUAUUGCAAAAAUUGAUAAAAGAAAAUUUUGGCCCACUAUCAGGCCUAUGAAAAGAACACGAUGUACAGUUGAAAAUGAUAUUAUGUGAAAACAUUUCGAAAGAAUUAUCGGUGAAAAUCCAGCCGAUCUUUGUGAUAAAGUAUUGAACUUAAUAAAUAAUGAACAUUUUGAAAAUAUAGGCAUAGAUAUCCUAG